Molecule: ribosomal RNA, 1000 nt
Filed under: uncultured organism
Description: bacterial SSU rRNA
Rfam family: Bacterial small subunit ribosomal RNA
Source: RNAcentral
GGGUACCGUGACUGAGAGGUUGACCCGGCGCAUCGGGACUGAGACACUGCCCGGACUCCUACGGGAGGCUGCAGUAACGAAUAUUCCGCAAUGGGCGAAAGCCUGACCUAGCGACGCCGCGUGUGGGAGGAAGCCCUUCGGGGUGUAAACCACUGUCAGGGAUUACCAAGCGAAGUAGGCGAAUAGCCUUCUGCGUUGAGGCGUCCCAGAGGAAGCCACGGUUAACUUCGUGCCAACAAGCCCCGGUAAUACGAAGGUGGCGAGCGUGGUCCGGAAUCACUGGGCCUUAAAGGGCACGCAUGCGGACUGUCAAGCGUCUUGUGACAGCCCCCGGUUUAGCCGGGGAAUUGCUGGGCGAACUGGCAGUCUCGAAGGCAGGUAAGGGCGACCGGAACUCUUGUUGGACCGGUGCAAUGCGUAGAUAUCAAGAGGAACGCCGGAGGCGAAAGCGGCUCGCUGGGCCUGACCUGACGCUGAGGUGCGAAAGCCAGGGGAGCGAACGGGAUUAGAUACCCCGGUAGUCCUGGCCAUAAACGAUGUCCACGAGAUCGGUGAACAUAUGACAGUGCGCCGGUCGAUACACAAGCGUUAAGUGGACCGCCUGGGGAGUAAGGUCGCAAGGCUAAAACUCAAAGGUAUUGACGGGGGCCCACACAAGCGGUGGAGCAUGUUGCAUAAUUCGAUGCAACGCGAAGAACCUUAUCCUGGACUUGACAUGUUAGGAUGCCUCCCUGGAAACAGAGGUUGGUUGCCCUUCGGGGUGAAACUUUCACAGGUGUAGCAUCGGCUGUCGUCAGCUCGUGUCGUGAGAUGUUGGGUUAAGUCCCGUAACGAGCGAAACCCUUGUCGUUAGUUGCCAGCGCGUAAUGGCGGGGACUCUAGCGAGACUGCCGGUGUUAAACCGGAGGAACGGUGGGGAUGACGUCAAGUCCUCAUGGCCUUUAUGUCCAGGGCUGCAAACGUGCUACAAGGGAGUGUACAAACCGACGCAAGACCGCGA